RNAcentral lists this ribosomal RNA (497 nucleotides) under uncultured bacterium. RNAcentral's name for it is "partial 16S ribosomal RNA". It matches the Rfam family "Bacterial small subunit ribosomal RNA", at positions 28 to 507 of the family's 1533-position model. The record is from RNAcentral.
GAUGAACGCUGGCGGCGUGCCUAAUACAUGCAAGUCGAGCGAACAGACGAGGAGCUUGCUCCUCUGACGUUAGCGGCGGACGGGUGAGUAACACGUGGAUAACCUACCUAUAAGACUGGGAUAACUUCGGGAAACCGGAGCUAAUACCGGAUAAUAUAUUGAACCGCAUGGUUCAAUAGUGAAAGACGGUCUUGCUGUCACUUAUAGAUGGAUCCGCGCUGCAUUAGCUAGUUGGUAAGGUAACCGCUUACCAAGGCAACGAUGCGUAGCCGACCUGAGAGGGGGGUCGGCCACCCUGGGACUGAGACGACGGCCAAGAGCCUGAGGGAAGGCACAGUAAGGAAAGGUCCGGAAUGGGGGGAAAGCUUGCCGGAGAAACGCGGGGGGGGUGAGGAAGGUCUCCGAACGGUAAAACUGUGUUAUGGGGGAAAACCAAUUUGGAAGGUAACGAGGCGCGAGUGAAGGUAACUUAUCAAGAAGCCCCGGCUAACUACGUG